GAUGAAGAACGUAGUGAAAUGCGAUAACUAGUGUGAAUUGCAGAAUUCCGUGAAUCAUCGAGUCUUUGAACGCACAUUGCGCCCCCUGGUAUUCCGGGGGGCAUGCCUGUCCGAGCGUCAUUGCUGCCCAUCAAGCACGGCUUGUGUGUUGGGUCGUCGUCCCCUCUCCGGGGGGGACGGGCCCCAAAGGCAGCGGCGGCACCGCGUCCGAUCCUCGAGCGUAUGGGGCUUUGUCACCCGCUCUGUAGGCCCGGCCGGCGCUUGCCGACACAUCAAUCUUUUUUCCAGGUUGACCUCGGAUCAGGUAGGGAUACCCGCUGAACUUAAGCAUAUCAAUAAGCGGAGGA
This 347-nucleotide unclassified non-coding RNA is filed under the name soil metagenome. RNAcentral describes it as "partial contains 5.8S ribosomal RNA, internal transcribed spacer 2, and large subunit ribosomal RNA". The stretch from base 1 to 120 matches the Rfam family "5.8S ribosomal RNA", at positions 35 to 154 of the family's 154-position model. The record is from RNAcentral.